UACGUAGGUGGCAAGCGUUGUCCGGAAUUACUGGGCGUAAAGGGUGCGUAGGCGGUCUUUCAAGUCAGGAGUGAAAGGAUACGGCUCAACCGUAGUAAGCUCUUGAAACUGUAAGACUUGAGUGCAGGAGAGGAGAGUGGAAUUCCUAGUGUAGCGGUGAAAUGCGUAGAUAUUAGGAGGAACACCAGUUGCGAAGGCGGCUCUCUGGACUGUAACUGACGCUGAGGCACGAAAGCGUGGGGAGCAAACAGGAUUAGAUACCCUGGUA
RNAcentral lists this ribosomal RNA (268 nucleotides) under uncultured prokaryote. Its description in RNAcentral is "partial 16S ribosomal RNA". It matches the Rfam family "Bacterial small subunit ribosomal RNA", at positions 524 to 792 of the family's 1533-position model. The record is from RNAcentral.